AAAAACACUAUUUGCUGCAGAAUCAUUUCCAUCACAAAUUAAAAUCAAAGGCUAUAGAAUCAGAGUAGAAUCAAGAAGUUCAUCUGGGAAUCAAAGAAAAUUUAUCCAUUCGAUGAUUAAACUCUCUGUACAAAGGAAGAAACACUAAUUACCCCGCAGAAUACAUGAAGAAAAACAAUAAAAAUGUUAAUCUCUCUCUAAUUAGCACCAAAGAAAUAUCCUGGAUCCACUAGCUGCUAAAAACACUAUUUGCUGCAGAAUCAUUUCCAUCACAAAUGAAAAUCAAAGGCUAUAGAAUCAGAGUAGAAUCAAGAAGUUCAUCUGGGAAUCAAAGAAAAUUUAUCCAUUCGAUGAUUAAACUCUCUGUACAAAGGAAGAAACACUAAUUACCCCGCAGAAUACAUGAAGAAAAACAAUAAAAUGUUAAUCUCUCUCUAAUUAGCACCAAAGAAAUAUCCUGGAUCCACUAGCUGCUAAAAACACUAUUUGCUGCAGAAUCAUUUCCAUCACAAAUGAAAAUCAAAGGCUAUAGAAUCAGAGUAGAAUCAAGAAGUUCAUCUGGGAAUCAAAGAAAAUUUAUCCAUUCGAUGAUUAAACUCUCUGUACAAAGGAAGAAACACUAAUUACCCCCGCAGAAUACAUGAAGAAAAACAAUAAAAAUGUUAAUCUCUCUCUAAUUAGCACCAAAGAAAUAUCCUGGAUCCACUAGCUGCUAAAAACACUAUUUGCUGCAGAAUCAUUUCCAUCACAAAUGAAAAUCAAAGGCUAUAGAAUCAGAGUAGAAUCAAGAAGUUCAUCUGGGAAUCAAAGAAAAUUUAUCCAUUCGAUGAUUAAACUCUCUGUACAAAGGAAGAAACACUAAUUACCCCGCAGAAUACAUGAAGAAAAACAAUAAAAAUGUUAAUCUCUCUCUAAUUAGCACCAAAGAAAUAUCCUGGAUCCACUAGCUGCUAAAAACACUAUUUGCUGCAGAAUCAUUUCCAUCACAAAUUAAAAUCAAAGGCUAUAGAAUGAAGAAGUUCAUCUGGGAAUCAAAGAAAAUUUAUCCAUUCGAUGAUUAAACUCUCUGUACAAAGGAAGAAACACUAAUUACCCCGCAGAAUACAUGAAGAAAAACAAUAAAAAUGUUAAUCUCUCUCUAAUUAGUCACUAAACUCAGGCCAAAACUUUGAGCAGCCUGCCGGAGGUUUAGUACUUGUGAGCUAGCCGGGCAGCACAACAUUUCUUGCGGGGAGAAAACAUAGAAGCAAAAGUAUGGGCCAGACCCAGAACUAUCGCCACCUUAACUUGCCCUCUCUUGGGGAUCAUACGGCCAUAAAACCUCCGUGAGUAACUUACACCAUUGAUCAUCACACUAGCUGCCAUCUCUGUUCUUCUUCUUCUUCUUCCUUCUCUUGGAGAGUGAAAAUGUGAGAGAGCAAGAAAAGUUGUUGAGACUUGGGAGUGGAAUGUGUUGGU
This 1458-nucleotide long non-coding RNA is filed under the name Populus tremula. RNAcentral's name for it is "long non-coding RNA (PTRE_LNC002116)". Lineage: Eukaryota; Viridiplantae; Streptophyta; Magnoliopsida; Malpighiales; Salicaceae. The record is from RNAcentral.